CAUUGGAGCAGGGCAUUUUGAUAGCGGCUGGAGGGCAGGCAGCUCAACCUCUAAACCCCCCUGGUCUGGGCACCAAGUCCUGUCCUGGGCACGGGACACAGUCCUCCAGCGAGACCAAACCCAGCUUCUCUACAGCACCAGGAAGAAGGCAAGCUGGGCCACCAGGGCGCGGCCCCAGGAAGGAAAAUCCUCCAUGGUCCUGUUGACAGAUGUGGUAUCAAAUGAAUUGUUCUCUGCUUAGACACGACUUUGAUAUUUAUUGGUUCAAAUUGCUCGGCUGACUCAGUCUUGCGGACUCUGAUUACACUGGACCUAUCCAAGAUCUGAGAUCAACAACUCAUCUCAAAAUCCUUAAGUUGACCACAGCAGCAUCGUCCCUUUUGCAGUGUAAGGGAGCCCAGCUGGGACAAUGUGUGAAUCAACGCAUGAAGGAGUGAGUGAGCAGCUAACCAAAUGAAAGAAUACUCAGAUAUCUGGGGUACAGUUCCCCUCCAGGUUUGCACAGCAUCUGCUGAAGUCUCCACUAGAAACUCAAUGGAAGGUCCCCACCGGAAACUGAAAGUCUCCUAGAGUGGCUUUGAGUUGCGGUGUCACCCUCCCUGCAGAUCCACAGGGGAGGCUGGGGCAGAUGAAAAAUACCAACUUGAGGGUCUGUGGCCACACCGUGCUGCUCCCCAAGGCCCCUCAGAAUUUCACUGCCCAAUAUGGUAGCGCCCAGCCUGAAACGUGGCCAGUGUGAAUUGAGAUGGGCUGGAAAUGCAUCAGACUUCCAAGAGCUGGACAAAAACCAUAUACUUUCCAUCCAGCUGUUUGGCAUUGGAUACUGCUGCCUCUGCUUGACUUGAGAUUGUGUGAGAAAAGCUGUGUUUAGACAACUGAAAACCACGAGCUUGAAAGUAGUGGGGGCACCCUCUUGGAGACUCCAGUUGCUCACCAGCUUGGACAAACCACUGGACUCAAAUGAUCAGGUAGAAAUUCAUCACUGGAGAGAACACAGUGGAAUGGCUUCAGCCAAAACUCACUCUGAAGGUCUUCAGGGCAACUUUAAGACUUGCCCCUGGCCGGGCACAGUGGCUUAUGCCUAUAAUCCCAGCACUUUGGGAGGCCGAGGCGGGUGGAUCACCUGAGGUCAGGAGUUCAAGACCAGCCUGGCCAAUAUGGCGAAACCCUGUCUCUACUAAAAAUCCAAAAAAUUAGCCGGGCGUGGUUGUGGGUGCCUGUAAUCCCAGCAACUCGAGAGGCUGAGGCAGGAGAAUUGCCUGAACCCGGGAGGCAGAGUUUGAAGACAGCCGAGAUUGCACCACUGGGCAACAAGAGCAAAACGCCAUCUCAAAAAAAAAAAAAAAAAAAAAAAUACUUGCCCCAGCUUUUUGUGUGAUGGACUUUCUAUUUACAGACGUGAUAUUUAUCUAUGACUUUACUCAGAGUCUGGCUCAUAGACCAGAAGGACUGGUAUCUCCUGGAGCUUGCAGGAAAUGCAAAAUCUCAAACCCCUGUAUUAGUCAGGGUUCUCCAGAGAAGUAGAGCCAAUGGGAUAGAGACAGGGAUAGGGAUGAUAGAGAUGGAGAUAGAGGUAGAGAUCCAUUAAUUCCUCUGUUAAUAAAUUGGCUCAUGCAGUUGUGACAAUUUCGAAAUCUGCAAGGUAUGUCAGCAAGCUGGAGACCCAGGGAACAGUUGAUGUUGCACCUUGAGUACAAAGGCAGUGUGUCUGGAGCCAUAAUAUCUUCUUGUUAGGAAGACUUUGGUCUUUUCUUUUCUGGCCUUCAACUGCUUGGGUGAGGCCCGUCCCCACUACAGAAAAUAAUAGUCUGUUCUACUCAGAGUCUACUGAUUUAAAUGCUCAUCUCAUCCCAAAAAAUACCCUCACAGCAACAUUUAGCCUGUGCAUUUGACCAAACAACUGGGUACCACGCCCCCCUCCCAAGUUGACACACAAAAUUGACCGUCAUACCCUCCCCACCCCCAGUCUUACUGAAUGAGAGAGAAUCUGUGCUUCAACAAGAUCCCCAGAAAAGGUAUAAGUGCAGGGAAGUCUGAGAAGCACCACCUUUGAGGCUUAUCCAGGAUGCCCACAUGAGCCUUCUCUGGAUAUGUCAGAUCCCCUUCCUGGCCCCCUAGACACCUCCUCCACUCCCCAAACUUGGAAGCAACAUUGUGGGGAAGCAGGCAGUGAGGCGCUCAGUCUACCACGUUGUGAGAUACACAGUUCCAUCUGUGUACCAUGAUUUGAUCCAAGGGAAUACAAAAGAUCCAGAAACAGAAGUACUUUUUUGUGAGCUCUCAAAAACUUCCUGUGACAAGAUCAGGUCCUUGAUGCGAGAGCCAUACUUGUUUCUUUUUCCUCUUUAUUCUCCACCUCUGACAUAAUACUUAGCAUAUAAAAAAAAUCCAAUAAACACCACUGAAU
This is a long non-coding RNA of Gorilla gorilla gorilla (western lowland gorilla), 2407 nucleotides long. RefSeq lists it as uncharacterized. The record is from RefSeq and is a predicted model, not a curated record. The transcript has 5 exons. Lineage: Eukaryota; Metazoa; Chordata; Mammalia; Primates; Hominidae.